UCAGAACGAACGCUGGCGGCGAUGGAUUAGGCAUGCAAGUCGAACGGGAGCAGCAAUGCUCCAGUGGCGGCAAGGGUGAGGAACACGUGAACAACCUGCCUUCGAGUUGGGGAUAGCUUCUGGAAACGGGAGAUAAUACCGAAUAACAUCACCGGAUCGCAUGAUCUGGUGAUCAAAGCAGCAAUGCGCUUGAAGAGGGGUUCGCGUCCCAUUAGCUAGUUGGUGAGGUAACGGCCCACCAAGGCGAUGAUGGGUAGCUGGUCUGAGAGGACGAUCAGCCACAUUGGGACUGAGAUACUGCCCAGACUCCUACGGGAGGCUGCAGUCGAGAAUUUUGGGCAAUGGACGAAAGUCUGACCCAAGCAAUGCCGCGUGCGGGAUGAAGGUCUUCGGAUUGUAAACCGCUGUCAAGAGGGACGAAACAUGACGGUACCUCUGGAGGAAGCCACGGCUAACUACGUGCCAGCCGCAGC
RNAcentral lists this ribosomal RNA (473 nucleotides) under uncultured bacterium. Its description in RNAcentral is "bacterial SSU rRNA". It matches the Rfam family "Bacterial small subunit ribosomal RNA", at positions 24 to 518 of the family's 1533-position model. The record is from RNAcentral.